RNAcentral lists this long non-coding RNA (279 nucleotides) under Ailuropoda melanoleuca (giant panda). RNAcentral's name for it is "lncRNA (ENSAMEG00000025311.1)". Lineage: Eukaryota; Metazoa; Chordata; Mammalia; Carnivora; Ursidae. The record is from RNAcentral.
AUGACCCUCGCCCUCAAGGAUUCUACAAAGAGCUCGGUGGAAGAAAAAACAUCAAGCAUCUCAAACAAGACAGUCUCUGGGAUUUCAUCUUCCUUUUUGAAGCGACCUGACCUAUCAGGAUCUUCAUUUCCCAACACAUUCUGGAGUUCUGAAGAAGUUCACUGUGACUAUUUUUGCUGCUGUCCAUUGCUUUCGUGGAGGGAUGAAGCUUUGGAGUUUUCUACUCCGCUAUUUUCACAGAUGUCCGUCCAGUGGAGAGAGUGGGUGAUAUGGCUGUGA